Molecule: ribosomal RNA, 377 nt
Filed under: uncultured bacterium
Lineage: Bacteria
Description: bacterial SSU rRNA
Rfam family: Bacterial small subunit ribosomal RNA
Source: RNAcentral
AUACGUAGGGGGCAAGCGUUGUCCGGAAUUAUUGGGCGUAAAGGGUGCGUAGGCGGCUUUUUAAGUCAGAUGUGAAAGACCACGGCUUAACCGUGGGGUUGCAUUUGAAACUGGAAGGCUUGAGUAUCGGAGAGGGUAGUGGAAUUCCCAGUGUAGCGGUGAAAUGCGUAGAUAUUGGGAGGAACACCAGUGGCGAAGGCGACUACCUGGACGAAAACUGACGCUGAUGCACGAAAGCUAGGGGAGCAAACAGGAUUAGAUACCCUGGUAGUCCUAGCCGUAAACGAUGAGUACUAGGUGUAGGGGGUUUCGAUACCUUCUGUGCCGCAGUAAACGCAAUAAGUAUCCCGCCUGGGGAGUACGGCCGCAAGGUUGAA